AGGAAGGGAGUAAAGUUAAUACCUUUGCUCAUUGACGUUAUCCGCAGAAGAAGCACCGGCUAACUCCGUGCCAGCAGCCGCGGUAAUACGGAGGGUGCAAGCGUUAAUCGGAAUUACUGGGCGUAAAGCGCACGCAGGCGGUUUGUUAAGUCAGAUGUGAAAUCCCCGGGCUCAACCUGGGAACUGCAUCUGAUACUGGCAAGCUUGAGUCUCGUAGAGGGGGGUAGAAUUCCAGGUGUAGCGGUGAAAUGCGUAGAGAUCUGGAGGAAUACCGGUGGCGAAGGCGGCCCCCUGGACGAAGACUGACGCUCAGGUGCGAAAGCGUGGGGAGCAAACAGGAUUAGAUACCCUGGUAGUCCACGCCGUAAACGAUGUCGACUUGGAGGUUGUGCCCUUGAGGCGUGGCUUCCGGAGCUAACGCGUUAAGUCGACCGCCUGGGGAGUACGGCCGCAAGGUUAAAACUCAAAUGAAUUGACGGGGGCCCGCACAAGCGGUGGAGCAUGUGGUUUAAUUCGAUGCAACGCGAAGAACCUUACCUGGUCUUGACAUCCACGGAAGUUUUCAGAGAUGAGAAUGUGCCUUCGGGAACCGUGAGACAGGUGCUGCAUGGCUGUCGUCAGCUCGUGUUGUGAAAUGUUGGGUUAAGUCCCGCAACGAGCGCAACCCUUAUCCUUUGUUGCCAGCGGUCCGGCCGGGAACUCAAAGGAGACUGCCAGUGAUAAACUGGAGGAAGGUGGGGACGACGUCAAGUCAUCAUGGCCCUUACGACCAGGGCUACACACGUGCUACAAUGGCGCAUACAAAGAGAAGCGACCUCGCGAGAGCAAGCGGACCUCAUAAAGUGCGUCGUAGUCCGGAUUGGAGUCUGCAACUCGACUCCAUGAAGUCGGAAUCGCUAGUAAUCGUGGAUCAGAAUGCCACGGUGAAUACGUUCCCGGGCCUUGUACACACCGCCCGUCACACCAUGGGAGUGGGUUGCAAAAGAAGUAGGUAGCUUAACCUUCGGGAGGGCGCUUACCACUUUGUGAUUCAUGACUGGGGUGAAGUCGUAACAAGGUAACCGUAGGGGAACCUGCGGUUGGAUCACCUCCUUACCUUAAAGAAGC
This 1107-nucleotide ribosomal RNA is filed under the name Shigella boydii. Its description in RNAcentral is "bacterial SSU rRNA". It matches the Rfam family "Bacterial small subunit ribosomal RNA", at positions 440 to 1533 of the family's 1533-position model. Lineage: Bacteria; Pseudomonadati; Pseudomonadota; Gammaproteobacteria; Enterobacterales; Enterobacteriaceae. The record is from RNAcentral.